GCCUUCGUGGUGUAGUGGUCAGCACGCUGGAAGCGCAUUCCAGAGAUCCGUGGUUCGAGUCCCGGAGAAAACA
Molecule: transfer RNA, 73 nt
Filed under: Stegodyphus mimosarum
Lineage: Eukaryota; Metazoa; Arthropoda; Arachnida; Araneae; Eresidae
Rfam family: tRNA
About the family: Transfer RNA (tRNA) molecules are approximately 80 nucleotides in length. Their secondary structure includes four short double-helical elements and three loops (D, anti-codon, and T loops). Further hydrogen bonds mediate the characteristic L-shaped molecular structure. tRNAs have two regions of fundamental functional importance: the anti-codon, which is responsible for specific mRNA codon recognition, and the 3' end, to which the tRNAs corresponding amino acid is attached (by aminoacyl-tRNA synthetases). tRNAs cope with the degeneracy of the genetic code in two manners: having more than one tRNA (with a specific anti-codon) for a particular amino acid; and 'wobble' base-pairing, i.e. permitting non-standard base-pairing at the 3rd anti-codon position.
Source: Rfam by way of RNAcentral